GACGAACGCUGGCGGCGUGCUUAACACAUGCAAGUCGAACGGAAAGGCCCUGCUUUUGUGGGGUGCUCGAGUGGCGAACGGGUGAGUAACACGUGAGUAACCUGCCCUUGACUUUGGGAUAACUUCAGGAAACUGGGGCUAAUACCGGAUAGGAGCUCCUGCUGCAUGGUGGGGGUUGGAAAGUUUCGGCGGUUGGGGAUGGACUCGCGGCUUAUCAGCUUGUUGGUGGGGUAGUGGCUUACCAAGGCUUUGACGGGUAGCCGGCCUGAGAGGGUGACCGGCCACAUUGGGACUGAGAUACGGCCCAGACUCCUACGGGAGGCAGCAGUGGGGAAUAUUGCACAAUGGGCGGAAGCCUGAUGCAGCAACGCCGCGUGCGGGAUGACGGCCUUCGGGUUGUAAACCGCUUUCGCCUGUGACGAAGCGUGAGUGACGGUAAUGGGUAAAGAAGCACCGGCUAACUACGUGCCAGCAGCCGCGGUGAUACGUAGGGUGCGAGCGUUGUCCGGAUUUAUUGGGCGUAAAGGGCUCGUAGGUGGUUGAUCGCGUCGGAAGUGUAAUCUUGGGGCUUAACCCUGAGCGUGCUUUCGAUACGGGUUGACUUGAGGAAGGUAGGGGAGAAUGGAAUUCCUGGUGGAGCGGUGGAAUGCGCAGAUAUCAGGAGGAACACCAGUGGCGAAGGCGGUUCUCUGGGCCUUUCCUGGCGCUGAGGAGCGAAAGCGUGGGGAGCGAACAGGCUUAGAUACCCUGGUAGUCCACGCUGUAAACGGUGGGUACUAGGUGUGGGGUCCAUUCCACGGGUUCCGUGCCGUAGCUAACGCUUUAAGUACCCCGCCUGGGGAGUACGGCCGCAAGGCUAAAACUCAAAGGAAUUGACGGGGCCCCGCACAAGCGGCGGAGCAUGCGGAUUAAUUCGAUGCAACGCGUAGAACCUUACCUGGGUUUGACAUGGAUCGGGAGUGCUCAGAGAUGGGUGUGCCUCUUUUGGGGUCGGUUCACAGGUGGUGCAUGCCUGUCGUCAGCUCGUGUCGUGAGAUGUUGGGUUAAGUCCCGCAACGAGCGCAACCCUUGUUCACUGUUGCCAGCACGUUAUGGUGGGGACUCAGUGGAGACCGCCGGGGUCAACUCGGAGGAAGGUGGGGAUGACGUCAAGUCCUCAUGCCCCUUAUGUCCAGGGCUUCACGCAUGCUACAAUGGCUGGUACAGAGAGUGGCGAGCCUGUGAGGGUGAGCGAAUCUCGGAAAGCCGGUCUCAGUUCGGAUUGGGGUCUGCAACUCGACCUCAUGAAGUCGGAGUCGCUAGUAAUCGCAGAUCAGCAACGCUGCGGUGAAUAAGUUCCCGGG
RNAcentral lists this ribosomal RNA (1343 nucleotides) under uncultured bacterium. RNAcentral's name for it is "16S ribosomal RNA". It matches the Rfam family "Bacterial small subunit ribosomal RNA", at positions 28 to 1378 of the family's 1533-position model. The record is from RNAcentral.